CUGGCUCUCUCUGUUGCCAUGGCACCGGCCGGAGAUGAGGCUCUGGGGGGCGGUGGGGGGCGGGGUUGCAGGGAGGACAG
MicroRNA precursor from Bos grunniens (domestic yak), 80 nucleotides. NCBI's taxonomy places the organism in Eukaryota, Metazoa, Chordata, Mammalia, Artiodactyla, Bovidae. The record is from Ensembl.